This is a long non-coding RNA of Rattus norvegicus (Norway rat), 13231 nucleotides long. RefSeq lists it as uncharacterized. NCBI's taxonomy places the organism in Eukaryota, Metazoa, Chordata, Mammalia, Rodentia, Muridae. The record is from RefSeq and is a predicted model, not a curated record.
AUCAGCAGUGUUUAUUUGGAGCAAAUUCAGCUCCCAGAGCUGGAUGGUUGAAUGCAGGAGGAGUUCCACCAAUUGCUCCAACUCCUUAUUCCAUUGUAGCAGCUUGGCCAAACUGUUCAGUUGUUGGUGGGGUCAAUCCAAGGGUUCCAUCUGGCAUCAUAGUGGCAGGUCCUGGAGGAGCUGGAGUACCAGGUGGCACAGGAGCAGGGAGCAUGGUGCCUCUAUGGUUUAGGCCCAUAGCCAUUUGGCUCAUCCGUAUCUCUUGUUCUCUCACAUCAGGGAAGGUCUCUUGGAUCCUUCCUGCUGUUGUCACAUCAUUUCUUCUUGUCACCGCAUCUCUUCCUCAAGAGCCUGCAUUCCUCUUCCUGCCUGAGUUCUAACUCUUCAUUUCUGAACCUCUUGGUUCUGCAGCUCCUCCAUUCUUCCAAGCUCUUCUUGGAAGUCUCAUCAAAUCCUGCCUCAUUAGCAUUACCUGGUACUUAUAGUGUGCUGCCUCCAUUUCCAUCUCCAACUUCUCAGGAGGCUCCUUGAUGUUCCAGUCCACUUGGUCCUGCUGUUGCUUCUCCCUCUCAAUGAGUGCCUUCCAGCGCAUGGUAAACUCAUACUCAAAGGAUCCAGGCUGUGCAAAUCUGGGUGGCUGCUCUCUCUGUGUUGUUGUAAAAAUAUACAAAAUACAAAAAGUAUGGUUGUCUUUUAUCCCUACUAGGUCUGGCACCGCAGUGCUCCCAAGAUAUCUACUGAAUAUCUUAAGUCUCAGUCAGCAAAGCCUCUCUCCUGCUUUGCUCCAUCCCAGAUCACACUGCUGAAGGCCUCUCUCUGAGCCGUCAGCAAUCUCUCUACCUAUCUAGUUCCAAAGGCAGGUUUCCAUGCCAGAAACACAAAUCCCAGACCAGCUGCCCCACACUCCAUUACACUUAAAUCUACACAUGAAAGAACACACAACACAAUAACCUUUGGCCCAGUUGAUAAGAUAUAAUUGCCCACCUAAACAUACAAAGCUCAACAUACAUACAUCCAUUAAAAACAUUCGUAACAACCUGUAAAGGUACAGCAUGGAAUCUUAACGUCACCUGCCAUAUUGUCCUGUCACAGCUUCUCUCCCUCUCCCUCCUGUCUCUUCCUCCUUUCUGUUCCAGUCUCCUCUUCUUCCUUCAAACUUCUCUCCCGACCAUCCUUCCAUCUCCUCCAAUGACAGACCUCCUUCUAUCCUGUACCUGCCCCUCACCUGUAUUUUAAAAAUUAAAUGAGGAGAAGUUUCUGGUGAAGUCACCUGAGUCCUGAGUACGUGACUAAACAGCUGUCCUUGGGGCAGUGGAAUUAGCAUCAAAAUAUAGAUAAAUCCAGGACAAACCACAACAUCUCUCCUUUGAAAUUGCUGUUUUUUUUAUAACCAGCUUCUCUGGAAGUCCCUCUUCAUCAUCUAACCAGUCCAUAGACUCCACAGUCACCAGCCGAGGAAAUGUGGUUAGCAAGAAGGAGCCUUCACUGCAUCUGUCCAGAGUUUUCUGAGUAGCUAGCUUCCCUGAGAACUCAACAGUGCCUUUCCCUGGGGGCCUUCCGUGGUCAUCCACAAUUAGAGCCUUCUCCACCUGGCCAAACACAGGAAAGGCUUCUUCCAGCAGUUCGUUGGACAUGUACUGAGGAAGGUUGCAGACUGUAAGGGGAUGCACUAUGACAAGCAAAGCACACUCACAGCUACUUUCCACAGUGACAUAUUAUCCAGCUCCGCUUUGGCAAUUUCUGCUAGGGUUCAUGUUUCCAAGCAAAUAUCUUUAUCCUUAUAAAUGAAAACUUCACCUGCUUUUCCAUAUUUCUCAAAAAGUUUCCUUAUCUCUAACUUUGAUGUCAGGGGGAAGAUUGCCCACAAAGAAAUGGUUAUGUUGGGUAAAGGUUUUCUCUCCUGGUUUCCUAAAAUUCUUCAGGUCCAUAGUCAAGCCUUCAUCUGGCGGCUGGCCUGCUGUUCAUUUGCAGGUAUUGGUGGGGGUGGCUGCUGCUGCUGCUGCUGGUGGUGAUGAUGGUGGUGAUGUUGAUGGUGCUUCCUUGGAGUAUGAUUCUGUUUUUUCCAAGUUAAAGGUUUUAUUGCUCUGCAUUUUUACAUCCUUGACUUCGAUUUGAACACAGCAAAAUGUCUGCUUCCCAGUCCUUUCUAAUCCCGACUGCCUCUGCUCAUAGUUCUUUGCUCAGAGUAAAGGCGACACUGCAAGGCCUCCACUGCCCCAAGAAAAGAUCUGACAUUUUUUAAAAGUGUCUCAUAAGAUAAUGCUUAAAGCAAGAAAUUAGGUACAAGGAAGUGUAUUCCAUAUGACUUGGUUUAUAUAGCAACAACGCAGGCAAAGCAGUCUCUGGUGUUAGAAAGAUAGUGACCACCUUUGUGAGAGAAGGACUGGUGCCUGAGAGGAUGAGAGGAAGCCUUCUGGCCUGCUGGGAGCAUUCUUUUUUUUUUUUUUUUUUUUUUUGGUUCUUUUUUUUUCCGGAGCUGGGGACCGAACCCAGGGCCUUGCGCUUCCUAGGUAAGCACUCUACCACUGAGCUAAAUCCCCAGCCCCAGCAUUCUUUUCCUGAGCUGCUUGAUGCUAACACAAGCAUUUGCUUUGUGAUAGCUCAUCACGCUGUAUGUGAGUUUCUUUUUCCUUAUGUACAUUUUACCAAACAAAAAUAAAACACAAAGAUUUCUGGCUCUUAGCUAGUUUGGAAUGAAAAUUGCUGCUGCCCAGCUUACUGGAUAUUGCCUAAUCUCCAAACACUGCAGUUUCUUAUCUGUUUGGUCAGGUUGCAUUAUACCAAAUCAAAAGACUAUCUUGAGUCUCAAGGGGUAAAUGAAUGAGAUAGUUUGGGACAGUAAACAGAUAAGCAAAGGACUAUCAAGGGGAAUCUACGUCUUCUUUGCUGCCCUGAUUCACUGCUGUCUUAAGUUCUAUCUUAACUAUCUCUUAUUUUUCUUUUUAGAAGUGUUGAAGUCAAGACAAGGAAGAAAGAUGCCAUCCAUUUUCUGUAUAUUUGUACAAUGCAAAAAUUCCUGUGUAAAUGAGGCCAAGACUGCCAAAAAUAUAUAAUUCAUCUGAAACAAAUGGAGUCUAUGAAGGGAUUGGCUUCUGGAUGAUAACAGAAAAUGUAGAAUCCCCAAGAGUUAACUAGGACUUGGUUGCAAUAGUCAAACAUAAAGAACAUUACAUUCAGUAGCAUAUUUCCAAGUGGUGAAUCUAGAUGUCCUAUAGAAGGUUGCUGGGUACACAGACACGAUUCCUAGAUACUUAUAGUUCUAGAGGCUCUGUUGCUAGUAAUAACACACCAAUAAUAAUUAGUAUGUACAGCAUGAAGACUAUGAUCAGCUAAAUUAUAUUAGUAUUAUAGAUCACAUAAGUAGAUUUUAGUGGUUCUUGUCAUACUUAAAAAAGCAUGUGGGUGGAUGUUACUCUAUUACAUGUUAAUAAAAAUGCCAUUAUCCAUUGUAUAAUAUCAUUAAUGUGUGUAAAACUCAAAUAUAAACAAUAAGAUUUACUUUUAAAAUGUAGGAAGUCCUUGUUGAAUUAAGUAAAUAGAUAGACAGGUAUAAUGGGAAGAUAAAUUCAGUUUAGUAAACAUCCCAAUUUCUUUUCUAUUGCUAUGAUAAAAUGACGAUCAAAAGCAAUGUGGAAAGGAAAAUGUUUAUUUCAUUAAUGAUCUGAAUUUUGGUUUAUAAAUGAAAUGAAUUCAAAAGCAUGUGACAGCCAUGCUUUGUAAUCAAGGAAGCAAUGGCUGAGUUCAUUAGUAGCUUCUUAAGAUGAAGAGUCAACUCCACAAGGCUGCUCUCUGAGCUUCACACGCGCACGUCAUGUCAAUGUGUUUAUAGGCACAUAAUGUGUUUUGUGUUUGGUCUCACUUUGUUACCUUGGCUUGUCUAAAACUGAUUCUGUAGACAAGGCUGGCCCAGAACUCCAGAGAUCUGUCUGCUUCUACCCCUCAAAUUUGGGAGUAAAGGUGCAUAUCUCUACACUUGGCCCAUACAAACAUCAUGUACAAACACACACACAUACACACAAUACAACACACACACAACACAACACACACACACACAAAACUAAUAAUACAAAGUUUAAAAAUAUAAGAUUUAAACAUUAAUUUAAUACACGUAAUGUACAUCUUACAUAAUGUUUAAAUUGGGCAAAAUGUAUCAAUAUUUUCAGAUGUUUAUGAUUUCUUAUAGUGAAGACUUUCAAAAUCUUAUUUUAAAAAGAUGAACAGUGCCCUAUUGUUCUCAAUAGUUGCUCUAGUGUGCAGUAGCAUGCCACAGCUUCUUACUCUAAUAACUCAAACUUAAUACCUUCUGACCUUUUCUUGUGAGUUCAUGUUAUCUUAAUUGCCUCAUUAAAGGCUGUGUCUCUAAAUAAAACCCCAGGCUGAGUCCCUCUGCCUUAAGACUUCAACAUAAGAUAUUUGGGGAGCAGAGUUCACCCCAUGGCAAUUUCUAAGACUUAAGAGAUUAAAAACUCACUGUGGUAAGAAGGAUCCAGUCUUGGAAGAGAGUUGAAGAGAGUAGUCUAAGGAGACAAAGAAUAAAGCCAUUUGAGGAUCACUUACCUUGAGGAAGGGGACAAGGUAAGGCCCAGAGUUGUGGCAUAGAGACCCCUAAUUCAUCAGUGGUCACCAGAGGCACGGUUAGUCACCACAAUGAUGAGAUCAUACCAUUUGAGCAAUUCAGUCAGAGUGUCAUGGAAGAAAUGUGGGCACUGGUACCUUUUGUAGCUCUGGAUGGUUCCAAUCAUGUAUCUGGCUCUGAAAGCCUAAAGUCUGAUUAUGAACAAUUAGGUUCUGAUACUUCCAACAAAGAGAAUUAAACUACAGGGUACCACUGUUUGAUUUCUUACUCUGAAAUGUUGAAAACAGAGCUUCUCCACGCUCCAGCACACACCAAAGCCAGUGACAAGCAUCUUGGGCUUCUUCCCUUUGAUCUGGAGAUCACCUGAAAAAACCCUGAAGACAUACUAAAUCCAUAUUUCCUCAGGUUGUGAGCUCCUACAGUGUUCCUACAGCUAUAUCUAACCUACUCUCCCUCUUUAGUCUCUAUCCUCCUCCCCCAAAAUAGGAAGAUGUGAGAAAGUCAGGUCUACAUAUUUGCAGACAUACAUACUACUGAGAAUGUGGGAAAUAUUUAAUCCUGUGUUAAUGGAGGUAAACACAUGUACCCUAUACUUGAUAACAUCAUGAAAUAUUAUACUUAGAAUAACUGUAUUUCCACAGACCUCCCUACCUUAUACAAAUAUUAGUAUUUAAUGAGAAAUGAGCUCAAACAGAUGUUUUAUAUUGGGAAUGUUUUCUCACAGACAGUUUCAAUAGAAAUACUUAAGCUCUUCAAAUUUAUCCAAAUAAAAUAUUUGGUCUUGAAACAUUCUAUUUUAAAUGAGUGAGUCAGAGGCUCUUGUUUUAGUUCUCAUGUCCAACUGAAUAUCUAGUAAUUGACAAGUUUGUAAUCUGAACUCUAGUGAUUAAGAAGUGAUUUUUAAAAACAUACAUCCCUUGCAUAAUAACACUAAGAAAUGUCAGUGACAUUUCUAAAGAUCUGAGUAGUGAUUCCUCAUGUAGAUUUUAAAAGUCAUAUUAGGGGUGGGUCAGAUCAAGAUAUGAUGUACGCAUAUAUGAAAUUGUCAAAGAAUAAACAAAAGAUAUUUUUAAAAUCCAGAAAUAUAACUUUGUCUCUGAGAUGUAAUAAAACUAGGAGCAUUGCCAAAUUUAGUCAUGUUUUCAGAGAAACAUGUAUUGCUAGAAAGACUCAAUAUUAUCCAAAUUUCUACAUCACUAAUAUAUGUUCCAAGUGAACUACAGGAGAAAGUUCUACAGCAAUGUUCCUUAAAUUUUUAUUUACGUUUUUAAUCACGUGUGUGUGUGUGUGUGUGUGUGUGUGUGUGUGUGUGUGUGUGUGUGUGUGUGUCUGUGUCUGUGUGUAAGAUUGCACAGGUCUUCAGGCUUGAUGGCAAGUACCUUCUUACUGAGCCAUCUGCUGGCCCUACUUUUCAUAUUUAAAUUUGUGUAAGAAUCAAGUAGAAGCAAGGCUAAUUCUGGAAUUGGUAGAAAUCCAUUGUGGAUUUCUAACGAGCUCCUGCCCAGACAGUACUGUUGCUGAGACACUGCAAACCAGCACCCUCGAAAGUCUGAUUGCUUCCUGCUUCCAUUACACCCACCACAAACAGAACAAUCCCUGAAGUACAGCUCAUCACACGGAUCAUUACUAGGUCUGUCAUUAGCUUCCAACAGUCUAGACAGCUACAAUUUUUUUACCUAUUGUGUAUUUUUAUCUAUUUUCUGGCGCAUUUUAAAUUCCUAUCAAAUAUGUUCAAAUAUUCCACUUAGAACUUGUUCUAGUUUCAUUUCUGUUGCUAUGGUAAAGUACCCUGACAGAAAGCAAUUUGGGGGAGGAAAGGGAUUAUUUGGCUUACAAUUCCAGGAUAUAAUCCUGCAAUUCAGGGAAGUCAAGGCAGGAACCCAAGCAGUUAGGACAUCCCAUCCACAGUCAAGAUCAACAAGAGAAUAAACAUAUACUUACCUACUUGCUCUCAGCCAGCUUUCUGUUCAGGAUCCCCAGUCUAGGGAACAGUAGAAAGAGUUGGGCCUCCCUACAUCAAAGAAAAAUCAAAAUAAUCUCCUACAAAUCUCCCCACAGGCCAACCUGAUUUAAAAAAUUCCUAAGGAAAACACUAUUUACAAAUGAUUCUCAGUUGUGUCAAGCUGAUCAUUAAAGUUUAUCAAUGCAGACAUGUAUUAUAGCUUGUUACUAGUUGCUCUAAGCAUUAUUCUCUGCAUCCUAACAUAUCAACCCACUUAGUUAAUAUUAUGCUAUCUUUUGUGGCUUGUCCCAGUCACUUUUCUUAGUUCUGUGAUCAAAUACCCAACAGAAAGAAGCUUAAGAAAUAACUGUUUUACUUUGGCUUACAGUUUCAAGGGACACAGUCAGUUGUGGAUUGAAAAAUAGAGCAGCAGGAGGCAGCUGGUCAUAUUCUGUCCAUGAUGCCAGUUCUUGGUUGUCAACUUGACUAAACCUGAAAUUAACUAACAUCCAAAAAUAGAGGGCACACCUGUGAGGGACUUUUGGAAAUAAGAAGAUCUACUUUUAAUCUGGAUCUUGAGAUCUCCCUGCUUCCAGUUGAGAACUCUAAUCCUGUAGUGAGACUGGACCCCAGCAGUAAGUGGCGCCCAACGUGGGGCAGGGGAGCUCAUCAACGGGGGCCAAGCGCUGAGUGCUCAUCACUCCAUCGACCUCUGGGUUAUGGGCCCAGCACGCUUCUGCUCCCAUCUUUUGCCAUUGGUGGUUGAGAUGAGACUUUCUACUUUUCUGCUUUGGGAUUAUAUGAUCUGAUGAGGCAGUCCAGAAUCCAGACUGGUGACUUGGCAUCCUGUGGAAAGACACAAGCAUACCCCUUCUGGAGGAGAGAAGAACAUCUGGUCCCUUCCAUGUAGAUGAAAGGACAUCUUUCCACAGAACUAAUGGAUCGUGAUUUUCCAUAGGAUCCCAAUGGCGCUGUAUUGCAGAUCUACCUUGAGAAUCUUUAUUCAAGUAAUUAAGUACAAAAAGAGCGUGAUUCAGUAAAUGAGUGGGGGAGGCAUAUUUUAAUUCUACUCCCUGUAACUUAGCCAAUUGUGUCUUUAACAGUUGGUUAGAUCUCUCAAUAAUUGCCUGUUCAUAUGCACAUGCACACAUACAUGCACAUUUGCAAACACACACACACACACACACACACACACACACACACACACACACACACACGUUCUGUUAAUCUAGAGAACCCUGACUAAUACAUUGUCUGUGUCAGAAGGCAGAGGACGAUGGAUCAUUUUGCUCAGCUUCUUUCACUUCUUCAUUCACUCCAGGGCCAGAGGCCACACAACAGUUACUAGUGGCUCUUCGCAACUCAGUCAAUCUAAUCUGCACAUUCCCUCACACAGGCUUCAAGAGAUUUAUUUUCGUGGGAUACUAAAUCCUAAACUGACUAUGAAGAUUAACCAUCCCAGUGCUGUGGUUGUAUUUUAUUCCUGUACAGACUAUACAUUUCAUAAUGUAAUAUCAUCAGAUUAGCUUAAUAUAAUCAGUUGUCCUUUUGGGUUAACUUUCUAUGGCUGUGACAAAUAGUAAAGAUAAACAAGAAAUACCAAUUUUGGGCUAUUGUUCAGAGAUUUCAGUGCAUGGUUACUUUAUUCCAUUGUUUCUGAGUGGGCAGUUAGGAUAUUAUAAAGCAAAAACUAUUGGUUUCGUGUCCAGAAGGGGGGGAGGAGGGGGAGAUUGAUUUUCUGAAAUUCAGGGCAUAUCUUUUCCAACCCCCACCUUAUUUAAAGCUCUGGAAACUUCUCACACACACACCCAGUGUAUGCUUUAUUAUUUCGGUGCUUCUUCAUUCAGUCAAGUUAACAACCACAAGGCCAUCUUACAAGGCUUCUUACACCUCCCAAUUGCCUAAUGAGUUAUUUAUGAGCCAAUCUCCUCCCAAAGGCUCCAUCUCUCAACACAUUGACGACCAAAUGAACAACAUCAAAUGCCUUUGUGGUGCACUUAAGAUCCCAACCACAAAAGUUCAACAUACACUUAUUACUUACAGUGUCCUUCAUCCCUUGCUUAAGGCUGACAUUACUGUAGAGUGCUACUUUGCUUUAAUUCUCUUUUUAUUAUCAAGUGUUCUGUGUACAACAAUGUUUAUACUAACUAUUUUAUUUUAGUAUUUUCAAUACGUCAUUCUUGGCUUUUUUCUGGUGAGAAAUAAGCUAUCAUUUGUGAUACUGCAUGCCUGUAUGAGAUGUCUUUUGCCUCAGCUAUUUCAAGAGUUUUCUCCUUAUCUUUGGCUUUUAAUCUUUUAAUUACGAUGAGAUUUCUCCAUGUGAUUUUCAUUGUGUAUAUUUUGAAUUUGCUGAAGUUCUCGAUACUCUAAAAUAACAUUUUAAACUUCUUAUCUUUUUGCCUCUUUACACUCUUAUUACAUGAGUUAGAACUGUUGAUAUUGUCCUAUAGGGCACUAAGGCCUUUUCUAUUGUUAAACUUUUAAAACUUACAUAUAUGUGUUCUGUAAUAGCAUUUCCUCCAUCUCUCUCUUUCUAACCUUUCCUGUUUCUCCUCCCAUCUGCCUUCCCACCCCUAUUCCUUCUCAAAUUUGUGGUCUCUUUCACCCCACCAAGACAUUUUACAAAUUGUUUUGAUUGGCGCUGGAGAAUUGGCUCAGUGGUUAAAAGUACUUGUUGCUAGUGUAGAAGAUCUGGGUUAAAUUUUCAGCACCUAUAUGGCAACUCACAACUCUCUAUAACUCUGGUCUCAGGGAAUCCGGUGUCCUCUUCUGACCUAGAGCAGCAGGCACAUGUGGUCUACACACAUACAUACAGCAAAGCACCCUUACAUAUGGUAAAUCUAAAAACAUUUUGAAUUGUUCUGGUCAUUUUUCCUUUCAGUUAAUCAGAUUUAAUCAUCAUUUCGAUUUGUCUGUUUUCAUUUUUUAUCUUAUUUUCUUUAUUUUCAGUACUGCUAUUUAGUAAAUUUCUAAUAUUCCAUUUUCAGAUGUAGAAUCUCCAUUUGGCUCUCUUUUUAUAAUGUCUCUUCCUCUGCUAUAUUCCUCAUCUAUUUAGUUAUUGUGACAACUUUUCUUUUUAUAAGAGUCUCUGCUCCUUUUCUAUGAAGCCCCAUAUUUAGUCUUAUAGGUGGCUUCUAUGGUAGCUUUUCCUCUUAGGCUUAGAGAAUUUUUUUUCUGAGCCUUUGUGUAUCGGCUUAUUGAUCCUUAAUUCAAAAUCUUGUCUACCUGCUCUAUGAGAAUGGAUUGGUUGGCUAGAACAAUGGCUCGGAGGUUAAGAGCACAUACUGUUCUUGUAGAAGGCCUGAGUUUGGUUUCCAUAAUCCACACUGGGUGGCUCGCAACCUCCUGUAACUCCAGCUCCAAGAGGUUUGACACCCUCUUCUGAACUGCCUAGGCACCUGCACUCUAGUAUACAUACCCAUCCAUAGGUACACACAUAUGUACAUAAUUGUACAUAAUUGAAAAAUAGCAAAAUUAAAUCUUUAAAAUGGAUUGGAUUGCUCAAGCAUUUCUUUUACACAAUGAAUGUAGACUUAAGCUUACUGAGUUUGUGGAUUUCUACACUGAAAAAAUAUAUCUAUCUACAUCUAUAUCUAUAAUCUAUAUCCUUUGUUUCGAGAGAAUAUUGAUCUAAUAGAGGAUUGUCUCUGCUUACUUAAGUCUUUAGUGUAUUAAAAGUACCCACCAAGGGUAUCCUUUCUAGUUAGUAUCUUGUGAUUUCUAAAAGACUAGGAAGGGCUCUGUAAAAGACAUGAUCCAUAACUUUUCAUUUUUUUUCCUGCUCCGACAUCCUCAGUGCUUGCAUAGAAGUUUUGAAACCACAUAUUAUUUUUCUAGUUCUACAAAACUUUAUUCACAAUAGAUAAUGGCAUAAUUAGUAAUUCACAUGGUUCCAUUUUUUUGGGUUUUUGUUCUCUGUUGUCAUUUUUGAUAUGGUUGAAAAGCACUAAUAUGACAUUUUCAUCUUUGCUAGUUUUGUGACUCUAUCCUGACACAGACCUCAAACCUGGCUGAUUACAUUCAAUAUAAAGAAAGUGCAGACUGGUUCAGGCUAUAUUUUCAACACUGCUCUUGGGCCUAGCUACAGCAGCAUUCUUACCAUUUUAGCUCCUAGGAACUCUGUAGACUCUAGGUCAAGUCUAGUUUUGCAAACAUCUUGAUCCACUGUUCUUUGACUACAGUCAAUAUUUUAUUUUUUAUUUUAUUUUUUUUAUUAACUUGAGUAUUUCUUAUAUACAUUUCAUGUGUUAUUCCCUUUCCCGGUUUCCGGGCAAACAUCCCCCUCCCCCCUCCCCUUCCUUAUGGGUGUUCCCCUCCCCACGCUCCCCCCAUUGCCACCCUCCCCCCAACAGUCUAGUUCACUGGGGGUUCAAUCUUAGCAGGACCCAGGACUUCCCCUUCCACUGGUGCUCUUACUAGGAUAUUCAUUGCUACCUAUGAGGUCAGAGUCCAGGGUCAGUCCAUGUAUAGUCUUUAGGUAGUAGCUUAGUCCCUGGAAGCUCUGGUUCAGUCAAUAUUUUAAAUCCCUCUCUGAAAGUCUUUUCAAUACAACUCCACUAUCAAGUUUAGAUUAUGUCUAGACAUAAGAUAGUCUGGAGACUUCGGUGCUAGUUAAAGGUUCUACCUCCUAGCCAUCCUCACCAAACCCACUAUAAAUAGUUUAAUAUCCAUUUAUUAUAAUAUUAAAGAGCACAGUGAUAUCAUGGUUUAUAAUUUUCACACUUAUAUUUAUUCCACUGAAGCCAAGGAAAUCCAUUUCUCUCUGCUUGCCUUAAGAUGCUAGAAGCCUGUGAGUACUCAAGACAGUGUGAUUCUUGCCUUGGCUGAUGAUAUAGUCCUAGCAAGGUGUUGGGGAUGUACUUGUUGUCCCUUCUCACAAAGGGUUUAUUCCUUCAAUUCUAACUUCAAUUUUAAGCUUCAGUUUUUUAAAACAAAACAUAAUAAAGUGGAAACUAAACAUGGGUCAAAGAAUGUUUUGAACAGGAGAGUGGCUAACAUUUUCUUUAGGUUUUGGAGAAGGUAACUAAGAGGAGUUAGUACCCAUGGAGCCAGCUGACUGGAAAGCCUGAGUAACAGAAAAGAUGGGAAAGCACACUGACAGAUGUCUAGAAAGUGCUUCCCUGGGGAAUGUUUUAUUCUGGGGAUGAAUAGAUAAAGGAACACUCAGAAAUUGUCCUCAGAUAGACAUAUACAUGGCAUCAUCUAGAGUCACACCACCUGUGAAAGUAAUUACCACAAGGAACCAUCAGAAGGACAGAAACCAUCAGGCUGCAACAGGGUCAGCCAGCACUGCUCCUACUGAUUGGCGAUCUUAUGAAAGCCUAUGUGAAUUGUGUCUGUGUCCUUUGAAGGAGUAUGUUUUGGGACAGAUAUAUUUGUGACAAGCUUACACAGACACACAGACACACACACACACACACACACACACACACACACACACAGCAAACACACCCAAUUGGGGUGUUAGAUGGCAGAGUAGUGGUUACCUCUGUGAGAGAUGGCAAAGGAAAGUUACAACAGGAAACUCAAAUGCAGAAAACAAAAUACUUCCUGGGGCAAGAAGUAAGAACUUUCCAUGAAGAGUAGACCUGUCCAUGACCUAUAAAGAUAUAAAAAAUAGGAAGCAAUGAAAUAGUAUUAAGAAGUAAAAGUUUCUCAUUGACCUUAAAAGCCAGGAAAAGCACAGAAACACAUUACAGCCACCAAAGUAAAUAACUGUAGCCAGUGCAAUGGCCAGUCUUGAUUGUCAACUUGACUACUCCUGGAAUGCACUGAAAUCCAAAAAAAUAGAGGGCACACCUGAGAGGGAUUUUUGUUGAAUUGGAAGUAGGAAGACCUACUCUAAAUCAGAUCUAUGAGGCAGGGAGAUAGACCUUUAAUCCAGAUGUAUUCUAAGUAAUGCCUUCUGCUGGCAGCCUGUACAAGGGCACGGAAGACAGAACUGCUCUUUGCCUGCUUACUCUUGUCCUUGCUAACAAGUUUAUUCUUUCACUGGAAUUAGAUCCUACUUCAAAAUUCAAGCACUGAAAACUAGCUGAAACUUCCAGCCUUGUGGACUGAGCAACUUCUGGAUUCAGCCAUUGUUGUUUAUAACCAGUCAUUGUUGGAUUUGCUGAACCACAGUCUGUAUUCGUGUGUGUGUGUGUGUGUGUGUGUGUGUGUGUGUGUGUGUGUUUCCAUUCUGUAAAUUCUGUUACUCUAGAGAACCCUGACUCAUACGGCCAGUAAAGCUGUCUUUGAAAUUGAUGGAGAAAUAAGUGCAUUAAAGACAAGCAAAAUCCAAGGCAGCCAUUACAACCAUUUACUUAUAUAACACUACUCAGUAUAUAUUAAUCACACUACUCAGAAGGUUCUUAUAUGAUAUGCCCCCAAACCUUACUUAGUAAGCCCUGAGAUCUUAGUACAACCAACUCCAUGAUGUAAGUGCCAUUCAGACAUAUUGACAGUACUACUUGUCAAAACAAAAACAAAACCUAAUCCAUUGAAGUCCAUAGUUAUGGGAAUUUGUCUCUAAAUGCACUAACCUUGCUCUUUGGCUUCUGUAGUUCCACUUUUGUCAAACUGUUCUUAUUAACUAAUGUAUGUCAGCCCAGGAUAUGUUUUAUUUGUGCUUAAAAGCUUUCUCACACUGAGAAAGGCUUGGGGCUACACUGGGAUCCUGAGCAUUCAGUGUAGUCAUUGACCAGCUAAUAAAGACUUUCUAUUGGCUUAAA